This 206-nucleotide ribosomal RNA is filed under the name uncultured bacterium. Its description in RNAcentral is "partial 16S ribosomal RNA". It matches the Rfam family "Bacterial small subunit ribosomal RNA", at positions 568 to 774 of the family's 1533-position model. The record is from RNAcentral.
UGCGUAGGUGGUGAGGUAAGUCGGAUGUGAAAUCUCCAGGCUCAACCUGGAAAUGGCAUCGGAAACUACCUUGCUCGAGGUUUGGAGGGGGGACUGGAAUACUUGGUGUAGCAGUGAAAUGCGUAGAUAUCAAGUGGAACACCAGUGGCGAAGGCGAGUCCCUGGACAAAACCUGACACUGAGGCACGAAAGCUAGGGAGCAAACA